This 452-nucleotide ribosomal RNA is filed under the name uncultured Comamonadaceae bacterium. Its description in RNAcentral is "bacterial SSU rRNA". It matches the Rfam family "Bacterial small subunit ribosomal RNA", at positions 924 to 1382 of the family's 1533-position model. Lineage: Bacteria; Pseudomonadati; Pseudomonadota; Betaproteobacteria; Burkholderiales; Comamonadaceae. The record is from RNAcentral.
CACAAGCGGUGGAUGAUGUGGUUUAAUUCGAUGCAACGCGAAAACCUUACCCACCUUUGACAUGUACGGAAGUUGCCAGAGAUGGCUUCGUGCUCGAAAGAGAGCCGUAACACAGGUGCUGCAUGGCUGUCGUCAGCUCGUGUCGUGAGAUGUUGGGUUAAGUCCCGCAACGAGCGCAACCCUUGUCAUUAGUUGCUACGAAAGGGCACUCUAAUGAGACUGCCGGUGACAAACCGGAGGAAGUGGGGAUGACGUCAAGUCCUCAUGGCCCUUAUAGGUGGGGCUACACACGUCAUACAAUGGCUGGUACAAAGGGUUGCCAACCCGCGAGGGGGAGCCAAUCCCAUAAAGCCAGUCGUAGUCCGGAUCGCAGUCUGCAACUCGACUGCGUGAAGUCGGAAUCGCUAGUAAUCGUGGAUCAGCAUGUCACGGUGAAUACGUUCCCGGGUCUU